UACGAACCGAGCGAACGUUGUUCGGAAUCACUGGGCUUAAAGGGCGCGUAGGCGGGUGCUCAAGUCCGUGGUGAAAUCCUCCGGCUCAACCGGAGAACUGCCUCGGAUACUGGGUGCCUCGAGGGUGGUAGGGGUAUGCGGAACUAUCGGUGGAGCGGUGAAAUGCGUUGAUAUCGAUAGGAACUCCGGUGGCGAAGGCGGCAUACUGGACCACCUCUGACGCUGAGGCGCGAAAGCCAGGGGAGCAAACGGG
Molecule: ribosomal RNA, 253 nt
Filed under: uncultured bacterium
Lineage: Bacteria
Description: partial 16S ribosomal RNA
Rfam family: Bacterial small subunit ribosomal RNA
Source: RNAcentral